CCUACGGGAGGCAGCAGUAGGGAAUCUUCCACAAUGGACGCAAGUCUGAUGGAGCAACGCCGCGUGAGUGAAGAAGGUUUUCGGAUCGUAAAGCUCUGUUGUUGGUGAAGAAAGAUAGUGAGAGUAACUGCUCAUUAUUUGCCGGUAAUCAACCAGAAAGUCACGGCUUCUUCUGCCAGCAGCCGCGGUAAU
RNAcentral lists this ribosomal RNA (192 nucleotides) under uncultured Lactobacillus sp. RNAcentral's name for it is "partial 16S ribosomal RNA". It matches the Rfam family "Bacterial small subunit ribosomal RNA", at positions 338 to 524 of the family's 1533-position model. The record is from RNAcentral. Lineage: Bacteria; Bacillati; Bacillota; Bacilli; Lactobacillales; Lactobacillaceae.